UUUCCGUAGGUGAACCUGCGGAAGGAUCAUUCAUAAUAAGUGUUUUAUGGCACUUUUUUAAAUCCAUAUCCACCUUGUGUGCAAUGUCAGGGUUGAUUUUUCUCUCGAGAGGAUCAACCCCAAACAUCAACUAUAUCUCGACUCUUUGUCUGAAAAAUAUUAUGAAUAAAACAAUUCAAAAUACAACUUUCAACAACGGAUCUCUUGGCUCUC
RNAcentral lists this unclassified non-coding RNA (213 nucleotides) under plant metagenome. RNAcentral describes it as "partial contains small subunit ribosomal RNA, internal transcribed spacer 1, and 5.8S ribosomal RNA". The record is from RNAcentral.